CUUACCCAUUUCCGGGGGAUAACAGUUGGAAACAGCUGCUAAUACCGCAUAAGCCUAAGGGUUAAAGAAGUAAUUCGGGAAUGGAGAGACUCGCGUCCUAUCAGCUAGUAGGUGAGAUAAGAGCUCACCUAGGCUAAGACGGGUAACCGGACUGAGAGGUCGAACGGUCACACUGGAACUGAGACACGGUCCAGACUCCUACGGGAGGCAGCAGUGGGGAAUUUUGGGCAAUGGGGGGAACCCUGACCCAGCGACGCCGCGUGAGUGAAGAAAUUCCUCGGAAUGUAAAGCUCUGUUGUAUGGGAAGAUAAUGACGGUACCAUACGAGGAAGCCCCGGCAAACUACGUGCCAGCAGCCGCGGUAAUACGUAGGGGGCAAGCGUUGUCCGGAAUUACUGGGCGUAAAGCGCACGCAGGCGGAAUUGUAAGUCCGUUGUAAAAAUUCAGAGGCUCAACCUCUGUCUGUCGGCGGAUACUGCAAAUCUAGAAUAUGUGAGAGGGAAGUUGGAAUUCCUGGUGUAGCGGUGAAAAUGCGUAGAUAUCAGGAGGAACUCCGGUGGCGAAAGCGACUCCUGGCACAAGACUGACGCCUCAUGUGCGAAAGCUAGGGUAUCGAACGGGAUUAGAUACCCCGAGUAGUCCUAGCCGUAAAUGAUGGAUACUA
This 664-nucleotide ribosomal RNA is filed under the name uncultured bacterium. RNAcentral describes it as "bacterial SSU rRNA". It matches the Rfam family "Bacterial small subunit ribosomal RNA", at positions 125 to 818 of the family's 1533-position model. The record is from RNAcentral.